Molecule: ribosomal RNA, 435 nt
Filed under: uncultured bacterium
Lineage: Bacteria
Description: bacterial SSU rRNA
Rfam family: Bacterial small subunit ribosomal RNA
Source: RNAcentral
UACGGGAGGCAGCAGUGGGGAAUAUUGCACAAUGGGCGCAAGCCUGAUGCAGCCAUGCCGCGUGUAUGAAGAAGGCCUUCGGGUUGUAAAGUACUUUCAGUCGUGAGGAAGGUGUUAAGGUUAAUAACCUUAGCAAUUGACGUUAGCGACAGAAGAAGCACCGGCUAACUCCGUGCCAGCAGCCGCGGUAAUACGGAGGGUGCGAGCGUUAAUCGGAAUUACUGGGCGUAAAGGGCACGCAGGCGGUUAAUUAAGUUGGAUGUGAAAUCCCCGGGCUUAACCUGGGAAUGGCAUUCAAGACUGGUUAGCUAGAGUCUUGUAGAGGGGGUAGAAUUCCAUGUGUAGCGGUGAAAUGCGUAGAGAUGUGGAGGAUACCGGUGCGAAGGCGGCCCCUGGACAAGACUGACGCUCAUGUGCGAAAGCUGGGGAGCAAAC